Molecule: ribosomal RNA, 305 nt
Filed under: uncultured bacterium
Lineage: Bacteria
Description: bacterial SSU rRNA
Rfam family: Bacterial small subunit ribosomal RNA
Source: RNAcentral
CUUUUCCUACGGGAGGCAGCAGUGGGGAAUAUUGCACAAUGGGCGAAAGCCUGAUGCAGCAACGCCGCGUGAAGGAAGAAGUAUUUCGGUAUGUAAAGCUCUAUCAGCAGGGAAGAAGAAAGACGGUACCUGACUAAGAAGCCCCGGCUAACUACGUGCCAGCAGCCGCGGUAAUACGUAGGGGGCAAGCGUUAUCCGGAUUUACUGGGUGUAAAGGGAGCGUAGAGGGCAUAGCAAGUCUGAAGUGAAAGCCCGUGGCUCAACCGCGGAACUGCUUUGGAAACUGUUAAGCUGGCGUACUGGAG